GUGGUGGGCCCAUAUUGGCUUCAAUGCUGAGCUGUGUGCACUGUAGCUAAGGUCCACCACUGACAGUGAUACUGGUUCCUGCCGACAGGGCUUGUCAAGAGGUUGAGUUUCCUGUGCGAUGGUUUCAUACAAG
Molecule: non-coding RNA, 133 nt
Organism: Chanos chanos (milkfish)
Lineage: Eukaryota; Metazoa; Chordata; Actinopteri; Gonorynchiformes; Chanidae
Source: RefSeq, a predicted model, not a curated record